This 253-nucleotide ribosomal RNA is filed under the name uncultured bacterium. Its description in RNAcentral is "partial 16S ribosomal RNA". It matches the Rfam family "Bacterial small subunit ribosomal RNA", at positions 524 to 776 of the family's 1533-position model. The record is from RNAcentral.
UACGUAGGGGGCGAGCGUUAUCCGGAUUCACUGGGUGUAAAGGGAGCGUAGACGGCCAUGCAAGCCAGGGGUGAAAGCCCGGGGCCCAACCCCGGGACUGCCCUUGGAACUGCAUGGCUGGAGUGCGGGAGGGGCAGGCGGAAUUCCUGGUGUAGCGGUGAAAUGCGUAGAUAUCAGGAGGAACACCGGUGGCGAAAGCGGCUCUCUGGCCUGUAACUGACACUGAGGCUCGAAAGCGUGGGGAGCAAACAGG